UGAAAUUGGAAAGGCCUCCGGGCCACAA
This 28-nucleotide small RNA is filed under the name Bombyx mori (domestic silkworm). RNAcentral's name for it is "ovarian small RNA-30633". Lineage: Eukaryota; Metazoa; Arthropoda; Insecta; Lepidoptera; Bombycidae. The record is from RNAcentral.